Molecule: ribosomal RNA, 1466 nt
Filed under: uncultured Campylobacterota bacterium
Lineage: Bacteria; Pseudomonadati; Campylobacterota
Description: bacterial SSU rRNA
Rfam family: Bacterial small subunit ribosomal RNA
Source: RNAcentral
GAGUUUGAUCAUGGCUCAGAGUGAACGCUGGCGGCGUGCUUAACACAUGCAAGUCGAACGGAACCUUCGGGUUUAGUGGCGCACGGGUGAGUAAUGUAUAGCUAACAUGCCCUUUAGAGGGGGAUAACAGUUGGAAACGACUGCUAAUACCCCAUACUCCUUCUCAUUAUAAGAUUAGUCGGGAAAGUUUUUUCGCUAAAGGAUUGGGCUAUAUGGUAUCAGCUUGUUGGUGAGGUAACGGCUCACCAAGGCUAUGACGCCUAACUGGUCUGAGAGGAUGAUCAGUCACACUGGAACUGAGACACGGUCCAAACUCCUACGGGAGGCAGCAGUGGGGAAUAUUACACAAUGGAGGAAACUCUGAUGUAGCAACGCCGCGUGGAGGAUGACACAUUUCGGUGCGUAAACUCCUUUUAUAUGGGAAGAUAAUGACGGUACCAUAUGAAUAAGCACCGGCUAACUCCGUGCCAGCAGUCCGCGGUAAUACGGAGGGUGCAAGCGUUACUCGGAAUCACUGGGCGUAAAGCGCAUGUAGGCUGUCUUGUAAGUUGGGUGUGAAAGCCUAUGGUUCAACCAUUAGAACUGCACCCAAUUAUUACUAUACUAGAGUCUGGGAGAGGAAAAUUGGAAUUAGUUUGUGCAGGGAUAAAAUCCCGUAGAUAUAACUAGGAAUACCAAAAGCGAAUGCCACUUUCUGGAACAGCACUGACGCUCAUAUGCUAAAGCGGGGGUAGCAAAUUGGAUUAGAAUACCCUGGGUAUCCCUCUGCCUAAAAGAUGAAUGAUAGUUGUCGGGAGGCUCGUCCUUUCGGUGAUGCAGCUAACGCAUUAAACAUUCCCACCUGGGGAGUGCGGUCGCAAGAUUAAAACUCAAAGGAAUAGACGGGGACCCGCACAAGUGGUGGAGCAUGUGGUUUAAUUCGAAGAUACGCGAAGAACCUUACCUAGCCUUGACAUUGAUAGAAUCCGAUGGAAACAUUGGAGUGCCAGUUUACUGGAGCUUGAAAACAGGUGCUGCACGGCUGUCGUCAGCUCGUGUCGUGAGAUGUUGGGUUAAGUCCCGCAACGAGCGCAACCCUCGUCCUUAGUUACUAACGGUUCGGCCGAGGACUCUAAGGAGACUGCCUUCGUAAGGAGGAGGAAGGUGAGGACGACGUCAAGUCAUCAUGGCCCUUACGGCUAGGGCGACACACGUGCUACAAUGGAUAGGACAAUGAGACGCAAUACCGCGAGGUGGAGCAAAUCUAUAAACCUAUUCUCAGUUCGGAUUGUAGUCUGCAACUCGACUACAUGAAGCUGGAAUCACUAGUAAUCGUAGAUCAGCCAUGCUACGGUGAAUACGUUCCCGGGUCCUGUACUCACCGCCCGUCACACCAUGGGAGUUGAUUUCACCCGAAGCGGGGAAGCUAAACUGGCUACCCUCCACGGUGGAAUCAGCGACUGGGGUGAAGUCGUACCAAGGUAACC